GGAGCCAGCGUCCCAGCCUAAUCACGGAUCUGCUGCCUCCCAGCUGUCUUGACUGAAGGCCACCGCCCCUGCAGGAGCUUGGGUCCUCAUCUGGGGGCCAUGCACAGGCCCGUCCCACCCUGCAUGUGGGAAGGGAGCAGGAGGGCCUGGCUGGGUGAGGGGAGGCCUUCCUGGGAAGGCGUGUGGUGCAGGCCUGUGCUCACAGUGGCACCAGCAACCCUGGGUCUCCCUCUCUGCUGCUCCCCAGAACCCCGGGGCCCUCCUGCUCUCCACAACUGUCCCUCCUUACCCCAUGUAGCUCGAUCCGAAGCAGGAGUGUCAAUAAACCUGUCUUCAGUGCGCUUCUGGCCU
This 351-nucleotide long non-coding RNA is filed under the name Homo sapiens (human). RNAcentral describes it as "non-protein coding lnc-LRSAM1-2:3". The record is from RNAcentral. Lineage: Eukaryota; Metazoa; Chordata; Mammalia; Primates; Hominidae.